RNAcentral lists this ribosomal RNA (468 nucleotides) under uncultured bacterium. Its description in RNAcentral is "partial 16S ribosomal RNA". It matches the Rfam family "Bacterial small subunit ribosomal RNA", at positions 28 to 507 of the family's 1533-position model. The record is from RNAcentral.
GAUGAACGCUGACGGCGUGCUUAACACAUGCAAGUCGAACGGAAAGGCCCAAGCUUGCUUGGGUACUCGAGUGGCGAACGGGUGAGUAACACGUGGGUGAUCUGCCCUGCACUUCGGGAUAAGCCUGGGAAACUGGGUCUAAUACCGGAUAGGACGAUGGUUUGGAUGCCAUUGUGGAAAGUUUUUUCGGUGUGGGAUGAGCUCGCGGCCUAUCAGCUUGUUGGUGGGGUAAUGGCCUACCAAGGCGUCGACGGGUAGCCGGCCUGAGAGGGUGUACGGCCACAUUGGGACUGAGAUACGGCCCAGACUCCUACGGGAGGCAGCAGUGGGGAAUAUUGCACAAUGGGCGCAAGCCUGAUGCAGCGACGCCGCGUGGGGGAUGACGGCCUUCGGGUUGUAAACUCCUUUCGCUAGGGACGAAGCGUUUUUGUGACGGUACCUGGAGAAGAAGCACCGGCUAACUACGUG